Molecule: ribosomal RNA, 400 nt
Filed under: uncultured bacterium
Lineage: Bacteria
Description: bacterial SSU rRNA
Rfam family: Bacterial small subunit ribosomal RNA
Source: RNAcentral
UAGGGAAUCUUGCGCAAUGGGCGAAAGCCUGACGCAGCAACUCCGCGUGCGGGAAGAAGGCCUUCGGGUUGUAAACCGCUUUUGGCAGGAACGAAAAUGACGGUACCUGCAGAAGAAGAUGCGGCCAACUACGUGCCAGCAGCCGCGGUGACACGUAGGCAUCAAGCGUUGUCCGGAUUUAUUGGGCGUAAAGAGCUCGUAGGCGGUUCAGUAAGUCGGGUGUGAAAACUCAGGGCUUAACCCUGAGACGCCACUCGAUACUGCUGGGCUAGAAUUCGGUAGGGGAGUGGGGAAUUCCUGGUGUAGCGGUGAAAUGCGCAGAUAUCAGGAGGAACACCGGUGGCGAAGGCGCCACUCUGGGCCGAUAUUGACGCUGAGGAGCGAAAGCGUGGGUAGCAAA